Molecule: ribosomal RNA, 442 nt
Filed under: uncultured bacterium
Lineage: Bacteria
Description: partial 16S ribosomal RNA
Rfam family: Bacterial small subunit ribosomal RNA
Source: RNAcentral
CCUACGGGAGGCAGCAGUAGGGAAUCUUUCACAAUGGGCGAAAGCCUGAUGGAGCAACGCCGCGUGCAGGAUGAAGGCCUUCGGGUUGUUAACUGCUUUUAUAAGCGAGAAAUAUGAUGGUAACUUAUGAAUAAGGAUCGGCGAAAUACGUGCCAGAAGCCGCGGUCAUACGUAGGAUCCGAGCAUUAUCCGGAGUGACAGGGUGUAAAGAGUUGCGUAGGUGGCAUAAUAAGUAGCUAGUGGAAUCUGGUGGCUCAACCAUUCAGACUAUACGCGAUACUGUUAAGCUCGAGACCGUUAGGGGUAACUGGAAUUUCUAGUGUAGGAGUGAAAUCCGUAGAUAUUAGAAAGAACACCGAUAGCGUAGGCAGGUUACUGGGAUGGUUCUGACACUGAGGCACGAAAGCGUAGGGAGCAAACGGGAUUAGAUACCCGAGUAGUC